CCUACGGGAGGCAGCAGUGGGGAAUAUUUGGCAAUGGGCGCAAGCCUGACCCAGCGACGCCGCGUGGGUGAAGAAGCGCCUCGGCGCGUAAAGCCCUUUCAGCAGGGAAGAAAAUGACGGUACCUGAAGAAGAAGCCCCGGCUAACUACGUGCCAGCCGCCGCGGUAAUACGUAGGGGGCAAGCGUUAUCCGGAUUUACGGGGUGUAAAGGGGGCGCAGACGGCGAUGCAAGCCAGGAGUGAAAGGCCGGGGCCCAACCCCGGGACUGCUCUUGGAACUGCGGGGCUGGAGUGCAGGAGGGGCAGGCGGAAUUCCGGGUGUAGCGGUGAAAUGCGUAGAUAUCGGGAGGAACACCGGUGGCGAAGGCGGCCUGCUGGACUGCAACUGACGUUGAGGCACGAAAGCGUGGGGAGCAAACAGGAUUAGAUACCCUAGUAGUC
Molecule: ribosomal RNA, 440 nt
Filed under: uncultured bacterium
Lineage: Bacteria
Description: partial 16S ribosomal RNA
Rfam family: Bacterial small subunit ribosomal RNA
Source: RNAcentral